GAUUUCUGGUUCGGCGCACUUGGCCCGUCUCGGUUUACGGGAUUGCGUGCCGGUGUGCGCCAUCCAUCCUUCGAUGAGAACAUGGCUGCCCUUUACUGGGUGUGCUAUGCCUCUCUCGAUCUUUUGCUUUGAAAAAAUUAGAGUGUUUAAAGCAGGCUUGCGCUAUGAUACAUUAGCAUGGAAUAAUAAUUUAGGACUUUGGUCUUAUUUUGUUGGUUUCUAGGACUAAAGUAAUGAUUGAUAGGGACAGUUGGGGGUGCUAGUAUUCAGCGGCCAGAGGUGAAAUUCUUGGAUUCGCUGAAGACUAACUUAUGCGAAAGCAUU
RNAcentral lists this ribosomal RNA (324 nucleotides) under uncultured cercomonad. RNAcentral describes it as "SSU rRNA". The stretch from base 112 to 324 matches the Rfam family "Eukaryotic small subunit ribosomal RNA", at positions 740 to 955 of the family's 1831-position model. Lineage: Eukaryota; Cercozoa; Cercomonadida; Cercomonadidae. The record is from RNAcentral.